AUGUUAGUUAGAUGAUUGUGAGGUGUUUGUCGAUGUUAGUUAGUUGAGUGUGAGGUGUUUGUUGAUGUUAGUUAGCUGAGUGUGAGGUGUUUGUCGAUGUUAGUUAGCUGAGUGUGAGGUGUUUGUCGAUGUUAGUUAGUUGAGUGUGAG
This is a long non-coding RNA of Xyrauchen texanus (razorback sucker), 150 nucleotides long. RefSeq lists it as uncharacterized. The record is from RefSeq and is a predicted model, not a curated record. NCBI's taxonomy places the organism in Eukaryota, Metazoa, Chordata, Actinopteri, Cypriniformes, Catostomidae. The transcript is spliced from 3 exons.